CGGAGGAAAAGAAACUAACAAGGAUUCCCCUAGUAACGGCGAGUGAAGCGGGAAAAGCUCAAAUUUGUAAUCUGGCGCCUUGGGCGUCCGAGUUGUAAUCUCGAGAAGUAUUUUCCGCGCUGGACCGCACAUAAGUCUGUUGGAAUACAGCGUCAUAGUGGUGAGAACCCCGUAUAGGGUGCGGAUGCCCAGUGCUUUGUGAUAUACUUUCGAAGAGUCGAGUUGUUUGGGAAUGCAGCUCAAAUUGGGUGGUAAAUUCCAUCUAAAGCUAAAUAUUGGCGAGAGACCGAUAGCGAACAAGUACCGUGAGGGAAAGAUGAAAAGCACUUUGGAAAGAGAGUUAACAGUACGUGAAAUUGUUGGAAGGGAAACGCUUGAAGUCAGACUUGCAUUUUGGAGUUCAGCCGCAAGGUGUAUUCUUCAAUUCGCAGGCCAGCAUCAGUUUUUGGGGGUGGAAAAGCGCGGUUCGAAGGUAGCAGUCUCGGACUGUGUUAUAGCUUGCCGCUGGAUUCACUUUUGGGG
RNAcentral lists this ribosomal RNA (522 nucleotides) under Microbotryum saponariae. Its description in RNAcentral is "LSU rRNA". It matches the Rfam family "Eukaryotic large subunit ribosomal RNA", at positions 51 to 586 of the family's 3401-position model. Lineage: Eukaryota; Fungi; Basidiomycota; Microbotryomycetes; Microbotryales; Microbotryaceae. The record is from RNAcentral.